AAAAGUACAAAACCGAAUAGUUUUAUGUACAUUUUAUGUACAUUUUUUAAAUCUUUCCAGUGUAUAAAGGUUAUUUCUAGACAAUAUUGCUCACACGUUCACUAGUUUUUUCUGAGAGAUGAAAUUUGAUUUGUGGCUACAUUCACACACAACAUCUGGUUGGAACGGACAGUUGAUGCUUCGCCGAGGCAUAAUGGUUUUCUCUCUUUGCUUUUUUACUAUGAAUUUAGGUCAUUAAUUUGUAUCUGUCCUUUGUUUACUCAAGGAGCAGAGACAAAGGGGCAGCUGUGGAAACAUUUGGCUGUGCCGAAGGGUAGUGGGCUCGACGUGACGAGUGUAUUACCAGCUUGGGUCUUCUAUAUGUAGCUCCACCACAGAAGUUGGAGGGAGCUGCGUGCCAGUGUACUGGGGGAGAGCGGCGCACAUGCAUGGCAUCGAUAGGGCAGCCGUUGCACUGAGCUUCAUCUGUGUGGCGUACAUCCCCGUCCCAGCCUGAGAUCCAGCGGGCCGCAGACAGUGAACGAGUAAAAGAGUCGCCCAGCGCACAUCUGCACACAGCAUUAUCAUUAGUUCUCCCGCAUCUCCCAGGAUCACUGACAAAAUGAACAAUACCAACAAUCACUCCCUUCAGCUGCAGCCAUAUGGGCGCCAUACUUAGAUUGCAGGGGAAGAGGAAAAAAGACAAGCAAUUGUACUGGCAUCUGUUUGGCAGUCCUUAGAAGCUGUUUCAAGAUGAAUCUGCUGUGUGAGGAAAGUUUUUUCCCUCUGCCUACCUCUCUCUUUGGACAAGGGAAAGUAUUGCAGGUUGCCCUCCAGUCGGCCGGCUCUUGCAAUUACUGUACCUGCUCUUUAAUGUGGCGUCCUAAUGGGAUGGGCGAGUGCAGACCCAGAUGGUGAGACAAAGUGCUUUUCUUCCAGGCUUAUGAGGCGGUGCAUCUUGCUGGAUUACCUUUCUCUUUCGGCACAAGCUUUGAAAUUUCUCACACUUGGAUUUUAUCAAAUCAAAUAAAUCGAACAGCAUUCCUUUAGCAUGCUUAACAUUUUUUAGAUAUCAAAUUUUCUCCAGCUUG
Pimephales promelas (fathead minnow) is the source of this 1070-nucleotide non-coding RNA. The record is from RefSeq and is a predicted model, not a curated record. Lineage: Eukaryota; Metazoa; Chordata; Actinopteri; Cypriniformes; Leuciscidae.